AACGAACGCUGGCGGCAUGCCUAACACAUGCAAGUCGAACGAGCCCUUCGGGGUUAGUGGCGCGGGUGCGUAACGCGUGGGAAUCUGCCCUUGGGUUCGGAAUAACAGUGAGAAAUUACUGCUAAUACCGGAUGAUGUCUUCGGACCAAAGAUUUAUCGCCCAAGGAUGAGCCCGCGUAGGAUUAGCUAGUUGGUGGGGUAAUGGCCUACCAAGGCGACGAUCCUUAGCUGGUCUGAGAGGAUGAUCAGCCACACUGGGACUGAGACACGGCCCAGACUCCUACGGGAGGCAGCAGUGGGGAAUAUUGGACAAUGGGCGAAAGCCUGAUCCAGCAAUGCCGCGUGAGUGAUGAAGGCCUUAGGGUUGUAAAGCUCUUUUACCCGGGAUGAUAAUGACAGUACCGGGAGAAUAAGCUCCGGCUAACUCCGUG
RNAcentral lists this ribosomal RNA (431 nucleotides) under uncultured bacterium. RNAcentral's name for it is "partial 16S ribosomal RNA". It matches the Rfam family "Bacterial small subunit ribosomal RNA", at positions 29 to 507 of the family's 1533-position model. The record is from RNAcentral.